ACAGUGAUCAAUGCACACAAGUGACCUAGCUGUCCUUGGCCCAAGUCAGGGUGCUUCUGAAGGGCUAUUUUAACCACGGAGCUCCUGGGUUCUGUCAUUGGGCCUACAAAGACAGCUCAGUGAUUGUCUAAUUGGGUCUGUAUAGGAGCCUCCACUUGAAGAGAGAGCAAAGCCCAGACCUGAACAGCAAGGAGUCAGCCCUUGGAUGAGGAUGCACACUCCAGUGCUGAGGAUUGAACUCAGGGCCUCACGCCUGUGAGGCAAGCACUUUAUCACUGAGCCACAACCCAAGCCCACUCUGUGAGACCAAAAUGAAUAACAGACACCAUCAGUUGUCAGAGAAGGUGGGUUCCCUUGUCCCCCUAGAGAAGGCCAACCUGCCUAGCUCAGCUCCUCCCUGGACAGCAUUUUCCCUGUGCCUGCCUCUCCUCAUUCCAACUUCCCAGCAGAAGGCCGGGACCCACUGGCUCCAUGCAGGAAUGAGACCUUCAGGGGAUGCGAGAGUGAACUGCCACUCCUGCUACUGCAGGAAAUCCCAAGCGGUGAUGGAGGUAUGAGCCAGGCUCCCGCUAGGUGCUCCACAUGUGCAACCCCAUUUAGGCCUCACCAGGACCCUGAAAGGUAAGCACAGCUCACCCCGCAUUUUCAGGUGAAGGAAGAGAGGCUCAGAGAAGGCAAGACCCUCAGAGAAGGUAAUCACAGGCAGGGAUGUGACAGAGCCUGUUCUAUGCCAACCUCAGCAGAUGGCAGUACUUGGAGGGUCACACACAGACUGGUCACUGAGCACAAUUGCUCUCCCAGAGCACAGCAGGUCUCUGCCUCCCGAUGGUGGGAGUUCAGGCUCACACACACAGCUCCUUCCAUGCCAAGCGGUCGAAAUGCCAGGCAGUUCUCUGUAUUGAACUCAAACCCCUCUCCUUGUAACCUCACAGAAUUAUCGAGCACAACAGCCCUUUAAGCCUUGCCAAUCCUCCACAUUCAUUUCUAGGUUUAGCCUCUUUCCAGCCAUCUCUUCUCCACUCCCCAGAAAGUGUUCCAGGUUUCUAUGUGGAAUCUGAGAUCCAGCAGAGUUGCUUUCUAAGGAGCAAAAUAAAUCAGGGAGAUCUAAUGUUUAGAAAAGGCAAAGUCAAGAUAGUAUGAGACAGAUAGAUGAUUGAGCUGAGAAAACAUUUUGAUAUCAAAGGAAAAAUUGUUUGGAUUUUUUUGUCCAUUAUGACCUAUAUCAGCUCUGAUGCUAAUUAUUCUUAGAAAGAAUCUACAGAAAUUAAUUUAAACAUUAGUAACAUUACUGGACCACGAGUUGAACCUCUCAAGGCAAGGUAGAUGCUCCACUGAGAGUAGACACAUUCCAGCAGAAUUGAGCAAAAACGUAAGCGGUGUGGCUUCCAAAUACUGGCAGAAUUAUAAUUAUUUAUGACAGGAUAGGAGGGGCACUGCCAGUGUACACUGCAGUCGUGUCAUAAUGGAUCUAGUGUUAGGAACUUAAAAUGACAUACCUCCUCAUCCCAGCUCCUUCCCAGAGCCAGGUUGCCCCUGGGUGGAGACCCAGGCUGAGGCAGGCUACUUGGUUGGAGUCAGGUCUGUGGACUUUCCAUGGAGGCCUGGUUGUCUUUCCAGUAACAGCCACGACUUCAAAGGGCUGCCAAGGAGCAGAUUGGGCAAUCCCCGGCCAGCCCAGGGUAGCUGUGUUGUGCGUAGGAGCCCUGCAUGCAGGGGUGUUGGAAACUGGCAAUUCCAGGUUCCAGAACCAAGUCCUGAGGGGAGGGAGGGAGACAGAUGGAGCCAAAGGACCUGCCUUGAACUGGAUCCCCCACGGCAAGAGGUUGCAGGCUCUGGGCUCAGGGAGCUCUGGCCCUGCCACAGGCCUGCUCAGGCCUGGCACACACCCGCCUCCUUUCCUCUUCAAAGAUGCCACUCCACCCACUGCAGGGCUCUUUCCUGGCUUCAAAAUGUCACAAUCUCCAUCUGUCUUUUCUUAUCCCUAUAGACCAGUCCCUCAUCCCUAAUAGUGGAAAUAACUACACAUCAGGUAACACCGUGGGAGGCAAGAAAAGCUCUGUAGAAGAGAAACAAGGUGGCAAAGCACCCUUCCUCUUCUUGAUGACACCAAGGAGACUCAGCCCCCUCCACACUCAGGAGGAGAGAAGGCUGGGAGGCAAUGGCCCUGCUCAGCUUAGGUAGCAUCAGUGAAGGGGCCGGAAACAGGGAGUCUGCGGCCUAGUCAACCAGUGUGAUGGAAGUGAUGGUCCCCAGAGGCCCUUUUGAAGACAAGCUACCUGUGAGUGUGAGCACCAUGUAGUCCCACUGGCAGGUGGUCACAGGAAUGGAGAUGAUGGCCAGCUGCUGCUCUCAGCAUCCACCACAUGUGAGGGACACAAGGGUUUGCUGAACAAGAGGAUGUUGUCAUAGUCUAUACCACUUGGCUCACCUCCCAGCUUCAAAAAUGAAGAAAACAAGUGUCAAACCAGAUGUGGUAGACAGGCCUGUAAUCCCAGUGACUCAGGAGGCUGAGGCAGGAGGGUCACAAGUUCAAGGUCAACUUCAACAACGUUGAAAUCCUGUCUUAAAAAAAAGUUUCAAAGCAAUUUUUUUUUGGGGGGGUGUUACUGGGGAUGGAACUCAGGGGCACUCAACCACUGAGCCACAUCCCCAGCCUUAUUUUCUACUUUAUUUUAGAGACAGGGUCUCACUGAGUUGCUUAGCACCAUUGCUGAGGCUGGCUUUGAACUCAUGAUCCUCCUGUCUCAGCCUCCUGAGCUGCUGGGAUUAUCGGCAUUCGCCACCGUGCCUGGCUCAAAACAAUAUUUUUCCAUUCACCAUCCUACUUCCACCAGAUGUUUUACAGGAUAAACAUUUUUCUUUUUACCUUUAAGAUUGGACUGAAAAGUAAAGAGCCUUACAGAAAACUUCAACCAACACGUGGAGUCCAUGGUCAAGUAUCCCCGCAGCUCUGAGUUUAGAAGGCAAGACCCAGGCCAGGGGCGCCUGGGCUGAUAGGGCGUCUGCCUGUGUGUGUGUGUGUGUGUGGGGGGGCUCUUCCUUCCACCUUUUCACUCUGAAAAUUGUCCUUACAAGGCAGAGGUCAUCUUCCCCAAAUUCAGAUGCUGUGAUACUAAAUAAAUGGCCAAGAAAAAGGAGCAGGCAACUUUCGGACAAGAGAACUAACUGCAUGCUGAAGAGACCCUUGUCACUUGGCACCACAGCCAGCUGCAAUGGCUAUCAGUUCUGGCAGGACUUUGUCAUGGCACAAAGGUCCCAGAGACCCGAAGUCAUCCUCAGUGACAAGGGCAGACCUGGCCGCAUGUCGUGACCCCCCAAGUGAGAACCUGAACUGCUCACAGGUGAACAUUCCCCUCGACUCCCUCGACUCCGCCCCUUCCUCCUGCCCGCCAGCAGCCCUGGCUGGGGACAAGAGAAACAAGGCUGCUGAGAUUCAUCCAGAGGACACCAUUACUGGCUGACAGAAGUUUAAGAACCCAGAGGCAAAAAAAAAAAAAAAAUGUUUAUUCCUCUUGCCAUGUCAAGUAUAAAAUACCCAAACAGUGCCUUUGUUGUCAGGUGCCACCAGGAAAACAUUAACACAGCAGUCACACAUUUUUGAUAAGAGUAAACUGUUGUCAGAUUUAUCUGA
Molecule: long non-coding RNA, 3631 nt
Organism: Marmota monax (woodchuck)
Lineage: Eukaryota; Metazoa; Chordata; Mammalia; Rodentia; Sciuridae
Exons: 5
Source: RefSeq, a predicted model, not a curated record